GACGAGGGGUCCUAGCGUUGUUCGGAAUCACUGGGCGUAAAGCGUAUGUAGGCGGCUUUUCAAGUCAGGUGUGAAAUCCCAUGGCUUAACCAUGGAACUGCAUUUGAAACUGUAAAGCUUUGAGUAUUGGAGAGGAUGGUAGAAUUCCUGGUGUAGUGGUGAAAUACGUAGAUAUCAGGAGGAAUACCGGUGGCGAAGGCGGCCAUCUGGCCAAAUACUGACGCUGAGAUACGAAAGUGUGGGGAUCAAAACAGG
RNAcentral lists this ribosomal RNA (255 nucleotides) under uncultured bacterium. RNAcentral describes it as "partial 16S ribosomal RNA". It matches the Rfam family "Bacterial small subunit ribosomal RNA", at positions 524 to 776 of the family's 1533-position model. The record is from RNAcentral.